CCUACGGGAGGCAGCAGUGGGGAAUAUUGGGCAAUGGGCGCAAGCCUGACCCAGCAACGCCGCGUGAAGGAAGAAGGCUUUAGGGUUGUAAACUUCUUUUCUCCGGGCCGAAGCAAGUGACGGUACCUGAGGGAUGAGCAACGGCUAACUACGUGCCAGCAGCCGAGGUAAUGCGUAGGUGGCAAGCGUUAUCCGGAUUUACUGGGUGUAAAGGGCGUGUAGGCGGGACUGCAAGUCUGAUGUGAAAACCACGGGCUCAACCUGGGGCCUGCCUUUGAAACUGUAGUUCUUGAGUACUGGAGAGGCAGGCGGAAUUCCUAGUGGAGCGGUGAAAUGCGUAGAUAUUAGGCGGAACACCAGUGGCGAAGGCGGUAUACUGGACAGCAACUGACGCUGAGGCGCGAAAGCGUGGGGAGCAAACAGGAUUAGAUACCCCUGUAGUC
Molecule: ribosomal RNA, 443 nt
Filed under: uncultured bacterium
Lineage: Bacteria
Description: partial 16S ribosomal RNA
Rfam family: Bacterial small subunit ribosomal RNA
Source: RNAcentral